This 213-nucleotide long non-coding RNA is filed under the name Helianthus annuus (common sunflower). RNAcentral describes it as "sRNA HanXRQr2_Chr03g0121561". Lineage: Eukaryota; Viridiplantae; Streptophyta; Magnoliopsida; Asterales; Asteraceae. The record is from RNAcentral.
ACAAUCUCAACUCGAUUUUUUUUGAUAUUUUGAAGUUUAUGACAACUAACUUAAUUCACAUAUGCUAAGAAUACUUGUUACUAUUUCAAUAAUGUUUUCAAGACCGCACCAGACAGGUUGAAUAAUCAGGCCCACACACUACACCAGUCUUGUCCGUACCUUUGAACCGCUUUAUUUUAAACCAGCUGGUUUGGUCAACUGUUACUAUAAAUU